UUGGAAGUUAAAAAAGUGUAACAAGGUUUCCGUAGGUGAACCUGCGGAAGGAUCAUUA
Molecule: ribosomal RNA, 58 nt
Filed under: Kluyveromyces lactis
Lineage: Eukaryota; Fungi; Ascomycota; Saccharomycetes; Saccharomycetales; Saccharomycetaceae
Description: partial 18S ribosomal RNA
Rfam family: Eukaryotic small subunit ribosomal RNA
Source: RNAcentral